Molecule: ribosomal RNA, 253 nt
Filed under: uncultured bacterium
Lineage: Bacteria
Description: partial 16S ribosomal RNA
Rfam family: Bacterial small subunit ribosomal RNA
Source: RNAcentral
UACGUAGGGGGCAAGCGUUGUCCGGAAUCAUUGGGCGUAAAGCGCGCGUAGGCGGCCCGGUAAGUCCGCUGUAAAAGUCCAGGGCUCAACCCUGGAAAGCCGGUGGAUACUGUCGGGCUAGAGUCCGGAAGAGGCGAGUGGAAUUCUCGGUGUAGCGGUGAAAUGCGUAGAUAUCGAGAGGAACACCUGCGGCGAAGGCGGGUUGCUGGGCCGACACUGACGCUGAUGCGCGAAAGCCAGGGGAGCGAACGGG